Non-coding RNA from Pelobates cultripes (western spadefoot toad), 368 nucleotides. Lineage: Eukaryota; Metazoa; Chordata; Amphibia; Anura; Pelobatidae. The record is from the annotation of a GenBank genome assembly.
CAAACCUCCAAUGGACAAAAAUGGAAGCCGCUAUAUUUAAACUCCCCAUCCAUACGAUCCCGUAGCAAAGGGCUCACCCCAAGCAGCUGCUCCUUGACCACGACACACAUCCCACGAUACCUCCCACAUUCAAGACAUGGGAUAGACUGCGUGAAAAUCUCAACAUAUCCCCACACCCAUCCCCACUAUACCCAAUCACCCACAACCCGCACUUCCAACCGGGACUGAUUGCCGCAAACUACCGAGGCUUCCGAGAUACCUAUGAUCAGACGUACCUUACUCUAGGAUCUAUUCUAGAUGGUGAUUCACUUCGUCCGCUAUCAGACCUCAUACACUCGACUGCUCCAUCUACAAUGCAAACAUUUCAC